CAGUCGCCGCGGUAAUACGAGGGGGGCAAGCGUUGUUCGGAAUUAUUGGGCGUAAAGGGUGCGUAGGCGGUUUGACAAGUCUUAUGUGAAAUCUAUGGGCUCAACCCAUAGUCUGCAUCGGAAACUGUCAGGAUUGAGAGUGUGAGAGGUGAGUGGAAUUUCCGGUGUAGCGGUGAAAUGCGUAGAUAUCGGAAGGAACACCUGUGGCGAAAGCGGCUCACUGGACCAUUUCUGACGCUGAUGCACGAAAGCUAGGGGAGCAAACAGGAUUAGAUACCCCCGUAGUCCCUGUCUCUUAUAC
Molecule: ribosomal RNA, 301 nt
Filed under: uncultured bacterium
Lineage: Bacteria
Description: partial 16S ribosomal RNA
Rfam family: Bacterial small subunit ribosomal RNA
Source: RNAcentral